Oncorhynchus masou masou (cherry salmon) is the source of this 245-nucleotide long non-coding RNA. RefSeq lists it as uncharacterized. The record is from RefSeq and is a predicted model, not a curated record. The transcript has 2 exons. Lineage: Eukaryota; Metazoa; Chordata; Actinopteri; Salmoniformes; Salmonidae.
UGAUCAAUCAAUUUGAGAAGGAAACCAUAAUGGAGACACAUGGGCGGGCAGAUAAAGCACGCGUCCUUGUGGACAUGACCUACGCCAAAGUUUUCAACAUGAGAUGAUGUGAGAUGACUGAAGAGGAGAAAAUAGCCACCUUUCAAUACCACAAUCCGGAGCCUGUAGAUUUUUCUGUUGUUUAUACCUUAUCAUAUCAUCCUUUCAAGGUUAAAAAAAAUUCUCAAUAAAUAAUCUACAUUGAA